CCUACGGGAGGCAGCAGUGAGGAAUAUUGGUCAAUGGGCGCGAGCCUGAACCAGCCAAGUCGCGUGAGGGAAGACGGUCCUAUGGAUUGUAAACCUCUUUUGUCGGGGAGCAAAAGACGCCACGCGUGGCGUUCCGAGAGUACCCGAAGAAAAAGCAUCGGCUAACUCCGUGCCAGCAGCCGCGGGAAUACGGAGGAUGCGAGCGUUAUCCGGAUGUAUUGGGUUUAAAGGGUGCGCAGGCGGAAGAUCAAGUCAGCGGUAAAAUUGAGAGGCUCAACCUCUUCGAGCCGUUGAAACUGGUUUUCUUGAGUGAGUGAGAAGUAUGCGGAAUGCGUGGUGUAGCGGUGAAAUGCAUAGAUAUCACGCAGAACUCCGAUUGCGAAGGCAGCAUACCGGCGCUCAACUGACGCUCAUGCACGAAAGUGUGGGUAUCGAACAGGAUUAGAUACCCGAGUAGUC
Molecule: ribosomal RNA, 459 nt
Filed under: uncultured bacterium
Lineage: Bacteria
Description: partial 16S ribosomal RNA
Rfam family: Bacterial small subunit ribosomal RNA
Source: RNAcentral